RNAcentral lists this ribosomal RNA (253 nucleotides) under uncultured bacterium. Its description in RNAcentral is "partial 16S ribosomal RNA". It matches the Rfam family "Bacterial small subunit ribosomal RNA", at positions 524 to 776 of the family's 1533-position model. The record is from RNAcentral.
UACGUAGGGUGCGAGCGUUAAUCGGAAUUACUGGGCGUAAAGCGUGCGCAGGCGGCUCUUCAAGUCAGAUGUGAAAGCCCCGGGCUUAACCUGGGAAUGGCGUUUGAAACUGGAGGGCUGGAGUGUGGCAGAGGGAGGUGGAAUUCCACGUGUAGCAGUGAAAUGCGUAGAGAUGUGGAGGAACACCGAUGGCGAAGGCAGCCUCCUGGGCCAACACUGACGCUCAUGCACGAAAGCGUGGGGAGCAAACAGG